GAUGAACGCUGGCGGCGUGCCUAAUACAUGCAAGUAGAACGCUGACGCUUGGUGCUUGCACCGAGCGGAUGAGCUGCGAACGGGUGAGUAACGCGUAGGUAACCUGCCUCUUAGCGGGGGAUAACUAUUGGAAACGAUAGAUAAUACCGCAUAAUAGUCGCUAUCGCAUGAUACUGAUUUGAAAGGUGCAAUUGCAUCACUAAGAGAUGGACCUGCGUUGUAUUAGCUAGUGGGUGAGGUAACGGCUCACCAAGGCGACGAUACAUAGCCGACGUGAGAGGGUGAGCGGCCACACAGGGAAUGAGACACAGCCCAGACUCUUCCAGGAGGCAGAAGUGUGGAAUCUACGGGAAAGGGGGCAACCGUGUCCGAGCAACACAACGCGUGUGAAGAAGGUUUUCGGAUCGUAAAGCUCUGUUGUAAUAGAAAAGCGAAUGAGCGAGUUGAAAGUUCACUCUUUGACGGGAACUUACCAGAAAGGGACGGGUAACUACGUG
RNAcentral lists this ribosomal RNA (497 nucleotides) under uncultured bacterium. RNAcentral describes it as "partial 16S ribosomal RNA". It matches the Rfam family "Bacterial small subunit ribosomal RNA", at positions 28 to 507 of the family's 1533-position model. The record is from RNAcentral.